AUUGAACGCUGGCGGCAUGCCUUACACAUGCAAGUCGAACGGCAGCAUGAUCUAGCUUGCUCGAUUGAUGGCGAGUGGCGAACGGGUGAGUAAUACAUCGGAACGUGCCCUGUAGUGGGGGAUAACUAGUCGAAAGAUUAGCUAAUACCGCAUACGACCUGAGGGUGAAAGUGGGGGACCGCAAGGCCUCAUGCUAUAGGAGCGGCCGAUGUCUGAUUAGCUAGUUGGUGAGGUAAAGGCUCACCAAGGCGACGAUCAGUAGCUGGUCUGAGAGGACGAUCAGCCACCCUGGGCUGGAGACCCGGCCCAGACCCCUACGGGAGGCCGGGGGGGGGAUUUUUGGAAAAUGGGCGAAAGCCUGAUCCAGCAAUGCCGCGUGUGUGAAGAAGGCCUUCGGGUUGUAAAGCAUUUUUGUCCGGAAAGAAAUGGCUCUGGUUAAUACCUGGGGUCGAUGACGGAACCGGAAGAAUAAGGACCGGCUAACUCCGU
RNAcentral lists this ribosomal RNA (489 nucleotides) under uncultured bacterium. RNAcentral describes it as "partial 16S ribosomal RNA". It matches the Rfam family "Bacterial small subunit ribosomal RNA", at positions 30 to 506 of the family's 1533-position model. The record is from RNAcentral.